Molecule: ribosomal RNA, 369 nt
Filed under: uncultured eukaryote
Lineage: Eukaryota
Description: partial 18S ribosomal RNA
Rfam family: Eukaryotic small subunit ribosomal RNA
Source: RNAcentral
CAAUAGCGUAUAUUAAAGUUGUUGCAGUUAAAAAGCUCGUAGUUGGAUUUCUGGUCGGAAGCUCCUGUCCUCUGAUGAGCGUACAAGUGCGUCCUACCAUCCUUCUGUUAACCUUUAAGGCUUUCGCGGCUUUCUAGGGGCUCAGAUAUUUUACCUUGAGAAAAUUAGGGUGUUUCAGGCAGGCUAGCGCCGGAAUACAUUAGCAUGGAAUAAUGGAAUAGGACUUUUGCCUCUUCUGUUGGUCAUGAGGCUCGAGUAAUGAUUAAUAGGGAUAGUUGGGGGCAUUAGUACUUAACUGUCAGAGGUGAAAUUCUCGGAUUUGUUAAAGACUAACUUAUGCGAAAGCAUUUGCCAAGGAUGUUUUCAUUA